This 467-nucleotide ribosomal RNA is filed under the name uncultured bacterium. Its description in RNAcentral is "partial 16S ribosomal RNA". It matches the Rfam family "Bacterial small subunit ribosomal RNA", at positions 28 to 507 of the family's 1533-position model. The record is from RNAcentral.
GACGAACGCUGGCGGCGUGCUUAACACAUGCAAGUCAGGGGGCGGGGUAACCCGUCACCGGCGAACGGGUGCGGAACACGUGAGCGACCUGCCCUGGUGUGGGGGAUAGCCGGCCCAACGGCCUGGUAAUACCGCAUACGGCUCCCGCUUGGAAGCGGGAGGCGAAACUCGCAAGAGGCGCUAGGAGGGGCUCGCGGCCUAUCAGCUAGGUGGUGCGGUAACGGCGCACCAAGGGGAUGACGGGUGGCUGGUCUGAGAGGAGGUCCAGGAACAUUGGGACUGAGAGACGGCCGAGACUCCUACGGGAGGCAGCAGUGGGGGCUGUUGCGCGGUGGGCGGCCGCCUGGCGCGGCGCCGCCGGGAGGAGGAUGAGGCCCUUCGGGGUGUAAACUCCUGUGGCCCGGGACGAAUGCCGUGACUCGGCGGGGUUGCCGGUCACGGGUGCGGAAGCCCCGGCUCCCUCUGUG